CCGUGACCGUACAUUGUCAAAUUUAGGGUUCUAGAGCAAAAUAUUUCUUGGCGGACGCUCGCGGUGGCGGCGGCGGUGGCGGCGGCAAUCUCUCCGUUCUCGUGCACGCUGGAGGUGCGGCGUUGUAGCCUGUCCAUGGCGCGGCGAUGCUAGAUUGCUGCUAGGAUUCUCUGCUGAUCAAUCCGAGAAGGCGGAGAAGGAGAAGAACAAGAAGCACGGGGAUCACUCUGCUAAAGACUAAGUCAAGAACAAGGAGCAGUCGGCUCGGCGCGGCUUGUGAUGGCGGUGCUGGUGAAGCGAGCAAUUUCGGCCAAAGGUGAGCGUCUAGAGUGUCGUUGAGUGCUUUCAUGGAUAUUCUCACCCUGGCAACCAGAACUAUAGAAGAAUUUGGCGCAGUGGCUUGUCUUUAUUGCUGGAACUCCUCCUUCCUGUGCUGCGUGUGUGUGUGGAGGAUUUGUGGCCAGCCGGCCACUCCGACACGUUAGCGAACUUACUUAUAUCUCGACCGCCAGUGUUUUCUCAUUUCCUUCCUGCGAGCUAUGGCAGGAGGUAGCGAUUCAAGAUCUCUAGAGUUAACUCCUACAUGGCCAUGUGUACGUUGUUCGUUCGUGACGAUCUUUCAUUCAGUGGCUAUCCAGAACAAAGAGGAAACCCCUCUAUGGUUUGUUUGUUCAAUCAGGCUCUGUUGCAAUGUUGUUUCAGAGUUGAUGCUUCUUCCUCAUCACCAUAACUGCGUCUUUCCUUUUUUAAUAAGCAACGCAUGCCUUGUCACCUCCCAUCCUCCGGGAAAGGGGCUGAUCACUUGUUCGUAAGCAAUCGGCGGCGGGAAGUCGCUUCACUAGAAAACACUUGCUCGGAGGUUUGUAGAUUCAUUCAAUUGGCUCGGGUCUCGUUCGUAAACUCCUGUCCUUUGUCCAGGGCUACGAACCAUUUAUCUCUUUCCUGGGCCUUGAGAAACUACACAUAUGUCAGUUGCCAAACUCGUCGUCGUCUUCUUUUGUUUGACAAGCGUACUUUGGCAGCAUGCCGGUUCUCAUUCUCUCAACCUCGAAAAUGUUGUAUACUCUGGUUCAAUGGCGCAUAUUGAGCAGCAAAAUGGUAGGAUUCUUAACGAUCAUCCGCGCUAUUGCAAUUCGUUGCUUUUGACCACCAGUGAAGAAGAUAAUGUUACAAACAACACAUCUAUUAAACACAAAACGAAAUACCUUAAUCCAACAGUAUCCUUGAACUCGUCCUCCAACGACCGAAUCAUGUAGCUGU
Molecule: long non-coding RNA, 1260 nt
Filed under: Selaginella moellendorffii
Lineage: Eukaryota; Viridiplantae; Streptophyta; Lycopodiopsida; Selaginellales; Selaginellaceae
Description: long non-coding RNA (SMOE_LNC002013)
Source: RNAcentral